UCUGAAUGAAAAAACUAACAAAGCAUUGACUAAGUGUAACUAAUAAAAGUCUCUGUCAUGGUCUUCACCCUCAGGUUCAAAGUGACGCUGGAACACUGGAACCAGGAAGAUCAUUAACUCUACCCUUCACAGUGUCGACCAGCGGAUCUGGAGGAGUUUUUAAUAUCAGAGUCAGUAAUGACCGAAGUUUCCUAAUGGCUGAUUUUCCAUCAACCCUGACUCUGGAGACUGGGGGCAGUGUGAAUGAUACAGUAACUCUGACUGCACCUGGAAACACCCCCUCAGGAACUGACGUCACGCUGACUAUCGAAGCUGAAGCACCACGAGCAACAGAUUUCAACUACGCAGUGCUGAGGAUUUCUGUAGUCACUCCGGUAACAGACAUUACUCCUCCAGUGUGUGAGAUAGUUAGCGUUAAUGCUAACUGCUCAGGGAACUGCAGCCUCUCGUGGUGGGAUUUCUCCGCUAACAUCACUGACAGAAACGGUUCAGGUAUUCAGCGCGUGGAGGUGAGCCAAGGUCUCGG
Molecule: long non-coding RNA, 526 nt
Filed under: Astyanax mexicanus (Mexican tetra)
Lineage: Eukaryota; Metazoa; Chordata; Actinopteri; Characiformes; Acestrorhamphidae
Description: lncRNA (ENSAMXG00005006868.1)
Source: RNAcentral